Molecule: ribosomal RNA, 486 nt
Filed under: uncultured bacterium
Lineage: Bacteria
Description: partial 16S ribosomal RNA
Rfam family: Bacterial small subunit ribosomal RNA
Source: RNAcentral
AUUGAACGCUGGCGGCAUGCCUUACACAUGCAAGUCGAACGGCAGCACGGGUGCUUGCAUCUGGUGGCGAGUGGCGAACGGGUGAGUAAUACAUCGGCACAUGUCCUGUAGUGGGGGAUAGUCCGGCGCAAGCCGGAUUAAUACCGCAUACGAUCUACGGCUGAAAGCGGGGGACCUUCGUGCCUCGCGCUAUAGGGUUGGCCGAUGGCUGAUUAGCGUGUUGGUGGGGUAAAGGCCUACCAAGGCGACCGUCAGUAGCUGGUCUGAGAGGACGACCAGCCACACUGAGACUGAGACACGGCCCAGACUCCUACGGGAGGCAGCAGUGGGGAAUUUUGGACAAUGGGCGAAAGCCUGAUCCAGCAAUGCCGCGUGUGUGAAGAAGGCCUUCGGGUUGUAAAGCACUUUUGUCCGGAAAGAAAGCCUUGGCCCUAAAACGGGCGGGGGAUGACGGUACCGGAAGAAUAAGCACCGGCUAACUACGUG